AUGCUACUCCUUCACCGAUCGGUUAACUGGGUUCAGAAGGAAAAAAUUUUAGAGGGUAGGCAUCUUGAUGUUCAGGUCUGGUUGCUGCGGACGUCUCGGAGCGGGUUUCACCUCGGUCAGCUCAGUGUCAGGAUCAGUCCAGAUUAUUGUGAAAAGGAUGAGCUGGCGUGUGUCAUCGUUGCAGUGGCAUGUGCCCGGCCGGAUGUGAUAAGCGGUGCGUCCGAACGGCGGCGGCGCUUCGAAGGAAUGUGGAGUGAUAGCCGAGUUUGCUGAGUUGCUGUUGUUCGUCAUGCAAAUCAGAAUUAAAAAUGUGAUAUUCGGUAAGUAAAAAUUAUACUUUAAAGAAAAUUAAUGAACAUGGAGAAUUGAACGAUAAUUUCCACUCGAAAAGACGUAGCUCUGUUCGACUUUGAAAAGCAUAUGUACAAUUCAAUG
Molecule: long non-coding RNA, 435 nt
Filed under: Bemisia tabaci
Lineage: Eukaryota; Metazoa; Arthropoda; Insecta; Hemiptera; Aleyrodidae
Description: lncRNA ENSSSA1UGG010841
Source: RNAcentral